GGAGAGGUGGCUGAGUGGUUGAAAGCACCGCACUCGAAAUGCGGCAUACGGGCAACUGUAUCGGGGGUUCGAAUCCCCCCCUCUCCGCCA
This 90-nucleotide transfer RNA is filed under the name Tardibacter chloracetimidivorans. Its description in RNAcentral is "tRNA-Ser". It matches the Rfam family "tRNA". From Rfam's summary of the family: Transfer RNA (tRNA) molecules are approximately 80 nucleotides in length. Their secondary structure includes four short double-helical elements and three loops (D, anti-codon, and T loops). Lineage: Bacteria; Pseudomonadati; Pseudomonadota; Alphaproteobacteria; Sphingomonadales; Sphingomonadaceae. RNAcentral also lists the same sequence under 4 other names. The record is from RNAcentral.